Molecule: transfer RNA, 77 nt
Filed under: Omnitrophica bacterium RIFCSPLOWO2_12_FULL_45_13
Lineage: Bacteria; Pseudomonadati; Candidatus Omnitrophota
Also listed under: 1 other name
Description: tRNA-Arg
Rfam family: tRNA
About the family: Transfer RNA (tRNA) molecules are approximately 80 nucleotides in length. Their secondary structure includes four short double-helical elements and three loops (D, anti-codon, and T loops).
Source: RNAcentral
GCGCCUGUAGCUCAAUUGGAAAGAGCACAUGCCUUCUAAGCAUGGGGCUGGCCGUUCGAUUCGGCCCAGGCGCGCCA